Molecule: ribosomal RNA, 274 nt
Filed under: uncultured bacterium
Lineage: Bacteria
Description: partial 16S ribosomal RNA
Rfam family: Bacterial small subunit ribosomal RNA
Source: RNAcentral
AUACGGAGGGUGCAAGCGUUACUCGGAAUCACUGGGCGUAAAGGAUGCGUAGGCGGAUAAUCAAGUCAAAAGUGAAAUCCUACAGCUUAACUGUAGAACUGCUUUCGAAACUGGUUAUCUAGAAUAUGGAAGAGGCAGAUGGAAUUAGUGGUGUAGGGGUAAAAUCCGUAGAGAUCACUAGGAAUACCGAUUGCGAAGGCGAUCUGCUGGGACAUUAUUGACGCUGAGGCAUGAAGGCGUGGGGAGCAAACAGGAUUAGAUACCCUAGUAGUCC